CGGACGGGUGAGUAAUGUAUGGGGAUCUGCCUGAUGGAGGGGGAUAACUACUGGAAACGGUAGCUAAUACCGCAUAAUGUCUGCGGACCAAAGCGGGGGGACCUCCGGGCCUCGCGCCAUCAGAUGAACCCAUAUGGGAUUAGCUAGUAGGUAAGGUAACGGCUUACCUAGGCGACGAUCCCUAGCUGGUCUGAGAGGAUGACCAGCCACACUGGAACUGAGACACGGUCCAG
Molecule: ribosomal RNA, 233 nt
Filed under: uncultured bacterium
Lineage: Bacteria
Description: partial 16S ribosomal RNA
Rfam family: Bacterial small subunit ribosomal RNA
Source: RNAcentral